Molecule: ribosomal RNA, 243 nt
Filed under: uncultured bacterium
Lineage: Bacteria
Description: partial 16S ribosomal RNA
Rfam family: Bacterial small subunit ribosomal RNA
Source: RNAcentral
UACGUAGGGUGCAAGCGUUGCCCGGAUUUAUUGGGCGUAAAGGGCGCGUAGGCGGCUCUGCACGUCCGUUGUGAAAUCGCCCGGCUCAACUGGGCGGGGUCAGCGGAUACGGCAGAGCUUGAGCAAGCUAGGGGGCAAUGGAAUUCCCGGUGUAGAGGUGAAAUUCGUAGAUAUCGGGAGGAACACCUGUGGCGAAGGCGGCCACCUGGACAACAACUGACGCUGAGACGGCGAAAAGCGUGG